GACGAACGCUGGCGGCGUGCCUAAUACAUGCAAGUAGAACGCUGAAGGAGGAGCUUGCUCUUCUGGAUGAGUUGCGAACGGGUGAGUAACGCGUAGGUAACCUGCCUGGUAGCGGGGGAUAACUAUUGGAAACGAUAGCUAAUACCGCAUAACAGUAGAUGCUGCAUGACAUUUGCUUAAAAGGUGCAAUUGCAUCACUACCAGAUGGACCUGCGUUGUAUUAGCUAGUUGGUGGGGUAACGGCUCACCAAGGCGACGAUACAUAGCCGACCUGAGAGGGUGAUCGGCCACACUGGGACUGAGACACGGCCCAGACUCCUACGGGAGGCAGCAGGAGGGAAUCGUCGGCAAUGGACGGAAGUCUGACCGAGCAACGCCGCGGGAGUGAAGAAGGUUUUCGGAUCGGAAAGCUCGGUUGUAAGAGAAGAACGAGUGUGAGAGUGGAAAGUUCACACUGUGACGGUAGCUUACCAGAAAGGGACGGCUAACUACGUG
This 495-nucleotide ribosomal RNA is filed under the name uncultured bacterium. RNAcentral's name for it is "partial 16S ribosomal RNA". It matches the Rfam family "Bacterial small subunit ribosomal RNA", at positions 28 to 507 of the family's 1533-position model. The record is from RNAcentral.